Molecule: long non-coding RNA, 447 nt
Organism: Malaclemys terrapin pileata
Lineage: Eukaryota; Metazoa; Chordata; Testudines; Emydidae
Exons: 4
Source: RefSeq, a predicted model, not a curated record
GAGAGAGCCCUGCUGAUUUGGCCAAGGGGCACAGACUUAAUAUAAGUGAUCCAGAAGCAGGGUUGCAUGUCUUAUGUGUUUAGUUAAGCAAUGGCUUCCUCCAGGCACCUAUGGACCAGUGUAAAGAGUGUACUUUGCUGCCAGUGUAUAAAAGAUGGUGUGUUAGAGCCUCAGAAGAAGGAGCCACCUCCACUGUGUGUGUCUGAUGGCCCUGUGUGUCCAGAGGAUGGGGUGGCUCCACUCCAGACUAGUGCGAGUCCCCAGCAUGACCGUCCCCUUCCUCCUGCCCAUGCAGAGCCUCAGACCAGAGAAACACCAAAUCAAAAUGCUGAACUACUUUAUCUACAGCGCAUUCAUGAGCUCGAGGAGGAACUGAAAUGUUCUCAGUCGUGGACCAGACAGCUGUCCUGCCGUGUGAAUGAGCUGGAGCGCCUCAUGUGCCCAGAG